RNAcentral lists this ribosomal RNA (492 nucleotides) under uncultured bacterium. RNAcentral describes it as "partial 16S ribosomal RNA". It matches the Rfam family "Bacterial small subunit ribosomal RNA", at positions 29 to 507 of the family's 1533-position model. The record is from RNAcentral.
AGUGAACGCUGGCGGUAGGCCUAACACAUGCAAGUCGAACGGCAGCACAGUAAGAGCUUGCUCUUACGGGUGGCGAGUGGCGGACGGGUGAGGAAUACAUCGGAAUCUACUUUUUCGUGGGGGAUAACGUAGGGAAACUUACGCUAAUACCGCAUACGACCUACGGGUGAAAGCAGGGGAUCUUCGGACCUUUCGCGAUUGAAUGAGCCGAUGUCGGAUUAGCUAGUUGGCGGGGUAAAGGCCCACCAAGGCGACGAUCCGUAGCUGGUCUGAGAGGAUGAUCAGCCACACUGGAACUGAGACACGGUCCAGACUCCUACGGGAGGCAGCAGUGGGGAAUAUUGGACAAGGGGCGCAAGCCUGAUCCAGCCAUACCGCGUGGGUGAAGAAGGCCUUCGGGUUGGAAAGCCAUUUUGUUGGGAAAGAAAAGCAGCAGGUUAAUACCCCGCUGUUCUGACGGUACCCAAAGAAUAAGCACCGGCUAACUUCGUG